GCAGAUACAAGCUCAUGCACAGAAAACCAAAAUAUGCAUUUCAUGAAACAAGUAUAGCAUAUAACAGCAAUUCAAAUGAAUUUGUGAGCUUGACACAACACAGAACAAUUUCAAAUCCAAACACCAAUUAAAUUUGGUUGUAGGAUGCACAGUGAUGUCAUUUUCAUCGUUCAAGCUGAACAGACUUACCGGGACGAAAAUCUACACAGACAAUCUCAGCACACACAAGUUCAAUUAUAGCUGCCAUUCAGCAAGGGGUCUAUACAAAUCCGCACUCCAUUCAUCCUAUGCUACUCAUGUCCGGCUUUCUUUUGAUAAUAGAAAGACGCACCAAAUCCUUUGAAAUAUCACUUCUGAUAGCCAGGAGGAGGAUAACCGGAUGCAGGAUAACCAGCAGGUGGAUAGGCAGGAGCUGGAUAACCUUGUUGAGGAGGUGGUUGACCAUAUGCUUGUUGAGGAGGUGGUUGACCAUAAGCUGCCCCAUACGCUGGAGGAGGAUAUCCAACAGUUGGUGGGUAAGGCUGAUCUAGUCGUGACAUGUGCUGCACUGGUGGCACCGCCAUUGGUUGAGGACCAAACUUGCCAUCUCUCUUGUCCAUUUCAACCUUAUGUUGCGUCUGCAAUGCUCAUCAACCACAGUAACCUCAGAUGUAAACUAUUAACUAGGGAACAGUAAGCUACUUACUGCAGAAAGCUUACAAGCUCCAGCUACUUGUAAGUUCCUCUUUUCUUUUUUCUUUUUUUUUUUGGAUGAGUAACCUCGGCUUUUGACUUCAUAUUAUCACGAAUUAUUUUUACCACAUCAACCAUUGUAAAAGUUUUGUUAUGUCUAUAUGAGAAGCAUUUCAUGUUUGAUACAUUGAUUUAAGUUUCUUGCUUACCUGCAUACAGGCACAAACCCUGCAACCAGAAGAUGCAGAGCAUAUUUAGGAACAAAAAUUUGAAAUAUUAUACAUAAAGAUAAUAUGCACGA
RNAcentral lists this long non-coding RNA (973 nucleotides) under Nicotiana tabacum (common tobacco). RNAcentral describes it as "long non-coding RNA (NTAB_LNC008902)". Lineage: Eukaryota; Viridiplantae; Streptophyta; Magnoliopsida; Solanales; Solanaceae. The record is from RNAcentral.